AAGUGCAGCUGCCUCCACUUUAAUCUCCACCGAAUUGUCCAAAACCGUGUCCAAGUGUUCAUCAACGUCACACCAUUUGUACAAAGUUUUUCCAACCUUCCAACAAUAUUCAAUGUAUGUGGUGUAAUAUAUAUAACUAGUGGAAUACUACCUAACCGUUGUGGAUUAGUACAAAAUAUAUACCUAGUGGAACACUUCCUAACCUUGAAAGAUUAGUACAAUAUAAUAUAUUUAUGGUAGGUUUCUCCUUAUCCGUGUACGAGUAGUAUUGUAUGGUGCAAAUUGAGCAUGGGAAUAAAGCAUGAGUUGCAUGCAAUAAUACUCCAAAAUAAAGGGUGCGACACACACAUGGCUGCACCGAAAUGACACGUGCAUCAUAUGCAAAUUGCAAAAAAUUACUGUAAUUCAUCUUCUAAAAUUUCUAGCAUUGUAAAGACACCACAAUACAAGGGAUGAAAGGAGGAACGACCAACACUUCACCAAAAUUCUGGACGCAAAUUCAAAAAGCACCGUGUGAUAUGGGUGAUUUUUAUGCUCUAAUCUGUAGGAAUAAGCGUACGUCACAUGCUCCAUUUCUAUGAAAUAUAGGUUUCACCGUAUGCUCCACUCCACCCCUGGGCGAUUCAUGCUAAUUCAAUUCCAACACGGACGUGGCUUACCCCUAUACUAUAAAUACAUGUUGUAUCACGUUUACAAAUGUUUGAAUAUAUUUUGGAGAGUAAAGGGAUGCUACAACAUUGUAAUUAGGUUUUUAUUAUUUUAAUUUAGGUCAUUCAUGUUUUUAGUUAUUAAUUACAACCUUGUGAUUACGAUUA
Molecule: long non-coding RNA, 815 nt
Organism: Capsicum annuum
Lineage: Eukaryota; Viridiplantae; Streptophyta; Magnoliopsida; Solanales; Solanaceae
Exons: 2
Source: RefSeq, a predicted model, not a curated record